Molecule: ribosomal RNA, 834 nt
Filed under: Pedobacter bambusae
Lineage: Bacteria; Pseudomonadati; Bacteroidota; Sphingobacteriia; Sphingobacteriales; Sphingobacteriaceae
Description: bacterial SSU rRNA
Rfam family: Bacterial small subunit ribosomal RNA
Source: RNAcentral
UGGCGCACGGGUGCGUAACGCGUAUGCAACCUACCUUAAUCUGGGGGAUAGCCCGAAGAAAUUCGGAUUAACACCGCAUAACAUCAUUGGAUAGCAUUAUCUGAUGAUCAAAUAUUUAUAGGAUUAAGAUGGGCAUGCGUGUCAUUAGCUAGUUGGCGGGGUAACGGCCCACCAAGGCGACGAUGACUAGGGGAUCUGAGAGGAUGACCCCCCACACUGGUACUGAGACACGGACCAGACUCCUACGGGAGGCAGCAGUAAGGAAUAUUGGUCAAUGGAGGCAACUCUGAACCAGCCAUGCCGCGUGCAGGAAGACAGCCCUCUGGGUCGUAAACUGCUUUUAUUCGGGAAUAAACCUACUUACGUGUAAGUAGCUGAAUGUACCGAAGGAAUAAGGAUCGGCUAACUCCGUGCCAGCAGCCGCGGUAAUACGGAGGAUCCAAGCGUUAUCCGGAUUUAUUGGGUUUAAAGGGUGCGUAGGCGGCUUAUUAAGUCAGGGGUGAAAGACGGUGGCUCAACCAUCGCAGUGCCUUUGAUACUGAUAAGCUUGAAUACACUAGAGGUAGGCGGAAUGUGACAAGUAGCGGUGAAAUGCAUAGAUAUGUCACAGAACACCGAUUGCGAAGGCAGCUUACUAUGGUGUCAUUGACGCUGAGGCACGAAAGCGUGGGGAUCAAACAGGAUUAGAUACCCUGGUAGUCCACGCCCUAAACGAUGAAUACUCGCUGUUAGCGAUAUACAGUUAGCGGCUAAGCGAAAGCGUUAAGUAUUCCACCUGGGGAGUACGCCCGCAAGGGUGAAACUCAAAGGAAUUGACGGGGGCCCGCACAAGCG